Molecule: ribosomal RNA, 254 nt
Filed under: uncultured bacterium
Lineage: Bacteria
Description: partial 16S ribosomal RNA
Rfam family: Bacterial small subunit ribosomal RNA
Source: RNAcentral
UACGUAGGGUGCGAGCGUUGUCCGGAAUUACUGGGCGUAAAGAGCUCGUAGGUGGUUUGUCGCGUUGUUCGUGAAAACUCACAGCUUAACUGUGGGCGUGCGGGCGAUACGGGCAGACUUGAGUACUGCAGGGGAGACUGGAAUUCCUGGUGUAGCGGUGGAAUGCGCAGAUAUCAGGAGGAACACCGGUGGCGAAGGCGGGUCUCUGGGCAGUAACUGACGCUGCUAGGACGAAAGCGUGGGGAGCGAAUGGG